Molecule: ribosomal RNA, 482 nt
Filed under: uncultured bacterium
Lineage: Bacteria
Description: partial 16S ribosomal RNA
Rfam family: Bacterial small subunit ribosomal RNA
Source: RNAcentral
AUUGAACGCUGGCGGCAUGCCUUACACAUGCAAGUCGAACGGUAACGGGCCUUCGGGUGCCGACGAGUGGCGAACGGGUGAGUAAUACAUCGGAACGUGCCCGAUCGUGGGGGAUAACGAGGCGAAAGCUUUGCUAAUACCGCAUACGAUCUACGGAUGACAGCAGGGGACCGCAAGGCCUUGCGCGGACGGAGCUGCCGAUGGCAGAUUAGGUAGUUGGUGGGAUAAAAGCUUACCAAGCCGACGAUCUGUAGCUGGUCUGAGAGGAUGAUCAGCCACACUGGGACUGAGACACGGCCCAGACUACUACGGGAGGCAGCAGUGGGGAAUUUUGGACAAUGGGCGCAAGCCUGAUCCAGCCAUGCCGCGUGCAGGAUGAAGGCCUUCGGGUUGUAAACUGCUUUUGUACGGAACGAAAAGCCUUCUUUUAAUACAGGAGGGUCAUGACGGUACCGUAAGAAUAAGCACCGGCUAACUACGUG